RNAcentral lists this ribosomal RNA (1332 nucleotides) under metagenome. RNAcentral describes it as "bacterial SSU rRNA". It matches the Rfam family "Bacterial small subunit ribosomal RNA". The record is from RNAcentral.
AGAGUUUGAUCCUGGCUCAGGAUGAACGCUGGCGGCGUGCUUAACACAUGCAAGUCGAACGAUCCUUCGGGAUAGUGGCGGACGGGUGAGUAACGCGUGGGAAUCUGCCCUCAGGAGGGGGAUAACGGCUGGAAACGGCCGCUAAUACCCCAUAUGCCGAGAGGUGAAAUGAAUUUCGCCUGAGGAUGAGCCCGCGUCUGAUUAGCUAGUUGGUGGGGUAAAGGCCUACCAAGGCAACGAUCAGUAGCUGGUCUGAGAGGAUGAUCAGCCACACUGGGACUGAGACACGGCCCAGACUCCUACGGGAGGCAGCAGUGGGGAAUUUUCCGCAAUGGGCGAAAGCCUGACGGAGCAACGCCGCGUGAGGGAUGAAGGCCUCUGGGCUGUAAACCUCUUUUCUCAAGGAAGAAGACCUGACGGUACUUGAGGAAUAAGCCACGGCUAAUUCCGUGCCAGCAGCCGCGGUAAUACGGGAGUGGCAAGCGUUAUCCGGAAUUAUUGGGCGUAAAGCGUCCGCAGGCGGCCUUGUAAGUCUGUUGUUAAAGCGUGGAGCUCAACUCCAUUUAAGCAAUGGAAACUACAAGGCUGGAGUGUGGUAGGGGCAGAGGGAAUUCCCGGUGUAGCGGUGAAAUGCGUAGAUAUCGGGAAGAACACCAGUGGCGAAGGCGCUCUGCUGGGCCAUAACUGACGCUCAUGGACGAAAGCCAGGGGAGCGAAAGGGAUUAGAUACCCCUGUAGUCCUGGCCGUAAACGAUGAACACUAGGUGUCGGGGGAAUCGACCCCCUCGGUGUCGUAGCCAACGCGUUAAGUGUUCCGCCUGGGGAGUACGCACGCAAGUGUGAAACUCAAAGGAAUUGACGGGGGCCCGCACAAGCGGUGGAGUAUGUGGUUUAAUUCGAUGCAACGCGAAGAACCUUACCAGGGUUUGACAUCCUGCGAACCCCUGAGAAAUCGGGGGGUGCCUUCGGGAGCGCAGAGACAGGUGGUGCAUGGCUGUCGUCAGCUCGUGUCGUGAGAUGUUGGGUUAAGUCCCGCAACGAGCGCAACCCACGUCUUUAGUUGCCAGCAUUCAGUUGGGCACUCUAGAGAGACCGCCGGUGAUAAACCGGAGGAAGGUGUGGAUGACGUCAAGUCAUCAUGCCCCUUACAUCCUGGGCUACACACGUACUACAAUGCUACGGACAAAGGGCAGCAAGCUCGCGAGAGUUAGCAAAUCCCAUAAACCGUGGCUCAGUUCAGAUCGUAGGCUGCAACUCGCCUACGUGAAGGAGGAAUCGCUAGUAAUCGCAGGUCAGCAUACUGCGGUGAAUACGUUCCCGGGCCUUGUACAC